RNAcentral lists this ribosomal RNA (418 nucleotides) under uncultured microorganism. RNAcentral describes it as "bacterial SSU rRNA". It matches the Rfam family "Bacterial small subunit ribosomal RNA", at positions 9 to 423 of the family's 1533-position model. The record is from RNAcentral.
GAGUUUGAUCUUGGCUCAGAUUGAACGCUGGCGGCAUGCCUUACACAUGCAAGUCGAACGGCAGCAUGAUCUAGCUUGCUAGAUUGAUGGCGAGUGGCGAACGGGUGAGUAAUACAUCGGAACGUGCCCUGUAGUGGGGGAUAACUAGUCGAAAGAUUAGCUAAUACCGCAUACGACCUGAGGGUGAAAGUGGGGGACCGCAAGGCCUCAUGCUAUAGGAGCGGCCGAUGUCUGAUUAGCUAGUUGGUGGGGUAAAGGCCCACCAAGGCGACGAUCAGUAGCUGGUCUGAGAGGACGAUCAGACACACUGGGACUGAGACACGGCCCAGACUCCUACGGGAGGCAGCAGUGGGGAAUUUUGGACAAUGGGCGAAAGCCUGAUCCAGCAAUGCCGCGUGUGUGAAGAAGGCCUCGGUGU